GACGAACGCUGGCGGCGCGCUUAACACAUGCAAGUCGAACGGAAAGGCCUGCUUUCCCUUGUGGAUUGCGGGUACUCGAGUGGCGAACGGGUGAGUAACACGUGAGUGAUCUGCCCCCAACUUGGGUAUAAGCCUGGGAGACUGGGUCUAAUUCCCGAUAGGACUGCAGGGUGGUGCCUGUGGUGGAAAACGAUUUUCUAGUGGUUGGGGAUGAGCUCGCGGCCUAUCAGCUUGUUGGUGGGGUAAUGGCCUACCAAGGCGGCGACGGGUAGCCGGCCUGAGAGGGUGGACGGCCACAUUGGGACUGAGAUACGGCCCAGACGCCUACGGGAGGCAGCAGUGGGGAAUAUUGCACAAUGGGCGGAAGCCUGAUGCAGCGACGCCGCGUGGGGGAUGACGGCCUUCGGGUUGUAAACUCCUUUCGACCGCGAGGAAGCCACCUGGUUGGAAGGGUGGUGACGGUAGUGGUAGAAGAAGCACCGGCUAACUACGUG
This 494-nucleotide ribosomal RNA is filed under the name uncultured bacterium. RNAcentral's name for it is "partial 16S ribosomal RNA". It matches the Rfam family "Bacterial small subunit ribosomal RNA", at positions 28 to 507 of the family's 1533-position model. The record is from RNAcentral.